AUUACCUCCUUUGUAUCUAUACCAUCUAGCCAUCAACAAGAAGUAAGCCAUGUUAACAACCAUGAGUCCUGUGAGCAUGAAGUAGAAGUAAUCCAAUUUCGCUUUGUUCAGAUCCUCAGCUAACCAAUUCCCUGAAGGUGAAUGCGCGGUUGUUCGAUGAACAGUUGAUAUCAAGAAGCUAGCGAGGUAGCUCGAAACCCCUGCACCGACAUAAAAGAUAGAACCCGCGAAGCUCUUCAUGUUUUCAGGAAACUGCUUGUAGUAAAACUCCAUUUGUCCAAUGGCAGCAAAAGCUUCUGCUAUGCCUGCAAGUGUAAGCUGCGG
Molecule: long non-coding RNA, 324 nt
Organism: Arabidopsis thaliana (thale cress)
Lineage: Eukaryota; Viridiplantae; Streptophyta; Magnoliopsida; Brassicales; Brassicaceae
Product: other RNA
Exons: 1
Source: RefSeq